This 21-nucleotide non-coding RNA is filed under the name Caenorhabditis elegans. Lineage: Eukaryota; Metazoa; Nematoda; Chromadorea; Rhabditida; Rhabditidae. The record is from RNAcentral.
UAGGGGGUGUUCACCAAAAUU